GAAUGAGGCAGGGACAAACGCCUGCGUUGGCAGGACGCGGUGGUUAGGGCUGAUAUACUGCAGCUGGUUAAUACCUGGCCUGGGGAGCUGGGAGCAGCUUGUGUCUUUAUUGCUUGGUUUUUGGUUUAUAGCUCUUGGCAGAUACCCAGAGAACGAGAUGAGUCCCUGUUUUUAAUCCUGUUACAGAACCAACCCCACAACAUGAUGCUGAGCACCACGGAGCGUGCAGGCAUGGGGAAUACCCCUGCCACAGAGCUGUGCCUGCUGUGAUUGCUGUGCCCUUCUCCCGGGAGGUGCUGCCAUCCCCUGCACACGAGUCGGGGCAAAACCCUGGAUGUUCUGGCUCUCGUGCUUCCCCUUUGAGACAACGGGCUGUGCCUGCAGACCAGGAGUAGGAGGAACUUCCCUCCUACUAGGGAGGGGGUGACAUCCCACGCUUCAGUCUGCUUUGUUAUCCACGACUGUUUCCUCGUUGUGUUUGUUAUGGAAUUGGAGAGCACAGUUGGCAGACGCAGCCCAUGAACACUGCACAAGGUGCUGGGGGUUCCUGGCCCUGAUGCCCAUGUAGAGGAUGGAUCUCCUACUGCAACCACCCGUUUCUGUGCUGCUCCUGCUCCGGGUACCUCCAUACCUUCAGAGUGGGGACAUGCCGUGCUGAGGAUGGCUCGGGGCUGCUCCCCUGAGAGCCGAGAUGGAGCUCCGGGUAGAUCCUUAUGGGCAAACACACUGCAACCACGGUGUCUACUGUAGCCAUGUAUUCCUGCUCCUCAGGCUAUGGAGAGGUGAAAGACAAGGCGUCUGCGGGAACACGACCUCUCUGACAGACCCAGUUACACCAGAGCAGGCAGAGGGAAUGAUACACGCCAAUGGUGAGAGGAGAUACAGCAACUGCUCAGUUAAUGACAGUCACAUUAUAAAGGAGCAAAGAGGAGGAAAGCAGGAAAGAAUGCAGAAUAUACCCUGUCCUCCUGACGCCAAUGUCAUGGAAGCGUCAAGUGAAGAAGACAGUUGUAAAAAUGGAUUGCAUGGAGAAUGCCUCUCAAGCUGUUAUCUGUUAUUUAUAAGGAAUUAAAAUGCACUAGUUAUAUGUGCCAGAAAAAUGGGCUCAUCAGUACUGUGCUGAGAUGCAUUAUGACUUUCCGAUUCCUGAUUUCAUAGCUGCUGUACUCACUCGAAAACAUAUUUAUAUACUUUGUAUCAACUGCUACCCAUUGAAUUUUUAUUGUCCAUUACAGGGGAAAAUCUUAUGUUUCAAUUUGCAUCUCGCUUGAUUCAUUGACACACCAUUCAUAACUCUGGUCUUGUGGGAUUUCCUCGGGAAAUGCUGGAUCUCAGGCUGUGAGGAUAUCCCUUCCUACAGCACAUGAACGGCUGUUAAUGCCAUCACACCGUGGGCUGACAGAUGUCAAUGGAGUCCCAGCCCCCGCCACAGUCAGGAG
RNAcentral lists this long non-coding RNA (1439 nucleotides) under Strigops habroptila (Kakapo). RNAcentral describes it as "lncRNA (ENSSHBG00005006364.1)". Lineage: Eukaryota; Metazoa; Chordata; Aves; Psittaciformes; Psittacidae. The record is from RNAcentral.